Schistosoma rodhaini is the source of this 78-nucleotide non-coding RNA. Lineage: Eukaryota; Metazoa; Platyhelminthes; Trematoda; Strigeidida; Schistosomatidae. The record is from Rfam.
AGCCUUCUGUAUCUGUACUGAGAUUUCUUCACACACCAGACCACAAGGGUUGAUGAGACUCCCAAGAUAGGUGAAGCG